AAUAUUGGACAAUGGGCGCAAGCCUGAUCCAGCCAUGCCGCGUGGAUGAUGAAGGCCCUAGGGUUGUAAAGUCCUUUCGGCGGGGAAGAUAAUGACGGUACCCGCAGAAGAAGCCCCGGCUAACUUCGUGCCAGCAGCCGCGGUAAUACGAAGGGGGCUAGCGUUGCUCGGAAUCACUGGGCGUAAAGCGCACGUAGGCGGUCUUUUAAGUCAGGGGUGAAAUCCUGGAGCUCAACUCCAGAACUGCCUUUGAUACUGAGAGACUUGAGUCCGGGAGAGGUGAGUGGAACUGCGAGUGUAGAGGUGAAAUUCGUAGAUAUUGGGAAGAACACCAGUGGCGAAGGCGGCUAUCUGGACCGGUACUGACGCUGAGGUGCGAAAGCGUGGGGAGCAAAC
Molecule: ribosomal RNA, 396 nt
Filed under: uncultured bacterium
Lineage: Bacteria
Description: bacterial SSU rRNA
Rfam family: Bacterial small subunit ribosomal RNA
Source: RNAcentral